UGGCGGCAGGCCUAACACAUGCAAGUCGAGCGCACCUUCGGGUGAGCGGCGGACGGGUUAGUAACGCGUGGGAAUAUACCCAAAGGUACGGAAUAGCCUCGGGAAACUGAGAGUAAUACCGUAUGUGCCCUUCGGGGGAAAGAUUUAUCGCCUUUGGAUUAGCCCGCGUAAGAUUAGAUAGUUGGUGGGGUAAUGGCCUACCAAGUCUACGAUCUUUAGCUGGUUUGAGAGGAUGAUCAGCAACACUGGGACUGAGACACGGCCCAGACUCCUACGGGAGGCAGCAGUGGGGAAUCUUAGACAAUGGGCGCAAGCCUGAUCUAGCCAUGCCGCGUGAGUGACGAAGGCCUUAGGGUCGUAAAGCUCUUUCGCCAGAGAUGAUAAUGACAGUAUCUGGUAAAGAAACCCCGGCUAACUCCGUGCCAGCAGCCGCGGUAAUACGGAGGGGGUUAGCGUUGUUCGGAAUUACUGGGCGUAAAGCGUACGUAGGCGGAUUAAUCAGUCAGAGGUGAAAUCCCAGGGCUCAACCCUGGAACUGCCUUUGAUACUGUUAGUCUUGAGUUCGAGAGAGGUGAGUGGAAUUCCAAGUGUAGAGGUGAAAUUCGUAGAUAUUUGGAGGAACACCAGUGGCGAAGGCGGCUCACUGGCUCGAUACUGACGCUGAGGUACGAAAGUGUGGGGAGCAAACAGGAUUAGAUACCCUGGUAGUCCACACCGUAAACGAUGAAUGCCAGACGUCGGGGGGCUUGCCCUUCGGUGUCACACCUAACGGAUUAAGCAUC
This 782-nucleotide ribosomal RNA is filed under the name uncultured Litoreibacter sp. RNAcentral's name for it is "bacterial SSU rRNA". It matches the Rfam family "Bacterial small subunit ribosomal RNA", at positions 37 to 868 of the family's 1533-position model. Lineage: Bacteria; Pseudomonadati; Pseudomonadota; Alphaproteobacteria; Rhodobacterales; Roseobacteraceae. The record is from RNAcentral.